RNAcentral lists this ribosomal RNA (785 nucleotides) under uncultured organism. Its description in RNAcentral is "bacterial SSU rRNA". It matches the Rfam family "Bacterial small subunit ribosomal RNA", at positions 26 to 830 of the family's 1533-position model. The record is from RNAcentral.
AGGAUGAACGCUGGCGGUGUGCCUAAGGUAUGCAAGUCGAACGGUCCUUAUGAUUAUCAUUUGGACAGUGGCAGACUGGUGAGUAACGCGUGGAUAAUCUGCCCCGAAGAUGAGGAUAGCUCGCCGAAAGGUGAGGUAAUCCUCAAUGGUGUGGGAAGUACAUAUGUACAUCCCACUAAAGCUUUAGCGCUUCGGGAUGAGUCUGCGUCCUAUCAGCUUGUUGGUAGAGUAAAGGUCUACCAAGGCUAAGACGGGUAACUGGUCUGAGAGGAUGGUCAGUCACAGUGGCACUGAAACACGGGCCACACUCCUACGGGAGGCAGCAAUUAGGAAUCUUGCACAAUGGAGGAAACUCUGAUGCAGCGACACCGCGUGAAGGAUGAAGACCCUCGGGUUGUAAACUUCUUUUAUAAUCUAACAAGUUCUGAGUGGAGUAUGAAUAAGCACCUGCUAACUGCGUGCCAGAAGCAUCGGUGAAGCGGGGGGUGCGAGCGUUAUCCGGAUUUAUUGGGCGUAAAGAGAUGCGUAGGCGUUUUGGUAAGUCUUCUGUCAAAGCCUUCGGCCUAACCGAAGAAAGGCAGAGGAUACUAUCAGAAUUGAGACAGAGAGGGGGAAGUGGAAUUCCCGGUGGAGCGGUGAAAUGCGUUGAUAUCGGGAGGAACACCAGUGGCGAAGGCAACUUCCUGGCUCUGUUCUGACGCUGAGGCUCGAAAGCGUGGAGAGCAAAGCGGAUUAGAUACCCGUGUAGUCCAUGCUGUAAACGUUGGAUACUGGACGUUUGGUUC